UUGGGUUAAGUCCCGCAACGAGCGCAACCCUUAUCCCUAGUUGCCAUCAGGUAAAGCUGGGAACUCUGGGGAGGACUGCCGGUGAUAAACCGGAGGAAGGCGGGGAUGACGUCAAGUCCUCAUGGCCCUUACAUCCCGGGCUACACACGUGCUACAAUGGCAGGUACAGAGGGCUGCGAAGCCGCGAGGUGGAGCGAAUCCCAGAAAACCUGUCUCAGUCCGGAUUGAAGUCUGCAACUCGACUUCAUGAAGGCGGAAUCGCUAGUAACCGCGAAUCAGCAGGUCGCGGUGAAUACGUUCCCGGGCCUU
This 309-nucleotide ribosomal RNA is filed under the name uncultured Latescibacterota bacterium. Its description in RNAcentral is "bacterial SSU rRNA". It matches the Rfam family "Bacterial small subunit ribosomal RNA", at positions 1075 to 1382 of the family's 1533-position model. Lineage: Bacteria; Pseudomonadati; Candidatus Latescibacterota. The record is from RNAcentral.